GGAUAACCAGUAGCCAAGACAACGGAAUGUGGAUCACAAAUUGUAUUAUCGAUAGCCAUGCUAUAAUAAUGUUCUUCUGUUGUGCUUGAAGGUACAUCUGGAUCGUCAAGCUAAAUACAAAGUUGUAGAUGAAGGGAAUGAACCAGUAGGAAACGUAUCCAGCAGCAUCCGCGAUUGAUCCAUUCUCACCGAGUAGAUGAAAGAUUGGAGUGGCUAAGACGAAAAACGGAAGCAAUGCGGUCAAUGUAAUCAAACCAACAAUCCAUGAUCUUUGCAAGUAAAUUCCCAUCAUAUGAUACUGUCCUGCUCCAUAUGCUUGUCCACAGAGAGUUUCAGUGGCGCUUGACAUUCCAAUCAGUAUACCAUUGACGAAUCGCACAGUGAGAGUUUGUACAAGUGCAUAAGCAGCGAGAUCUAAUCCACUAAUGUGUCCGAUGAAUGAUUGUGUGACCACUAUACUUCCAAAUGAAGCUACUCUUGACAGUACUCCGGGUAAUGCAACUCUCCAUAUCUUCUUAGACUCGUCGUAGAUCCUCUCCUUUAAGUUAUCAUCAACUUUUUCUAUUUGUGAAUCAAGUAGCCUCUCUUGCACACUGUUAUCCAUGACUAUUUAUACUGAUCCGUAGAUCCUGUGAUUUUGGUUAAAGUGAAUCCACUUUUAAUGGAGUUCCUGCAACUCUGUAAUUUCGACGGAAAUCCUGUCGCCGCCGUGCUGAAGGCGGAAGUACGGCGGAGCUACGGUGAGAAGUACGGCGGAGCCACUAGAUGCUCCGAGCGCGAUUUGGC
Molecule: unclassified non-coding RNA, 786 nt
Filed under: Hevea brasiliensis (rubber tree)
Lineage: Eukaryota; Viridiplantae; Streptophyta; Magnoliopsida; Malpighiales; Euphorbiaceae
Source: RNAcentral